AUGUCCAUGUUGUUGUCCACUGCCUCCUCCCGUGUGCUCAUUAAUGGCCAUGCGGGAGAGCUUAUCCAGCACCGGUGUGGCCUUCGGCAGGGCGAUCCGCUCUCGCCUUUCCUCUUCAUUCUGGCGAUGGAGCCGUUGCAGCGCAUCCUGGAUCUUGCCGUCCUCGAGGGAACAUUAUCGCCGCUGAGAGGUAGGAUCCCUCGUUUUAGCACCUCGCUCUACGCGGAUGAUGUCGCCCUAUUUCUCAAUCCCGUUCGAGCUGAGCUGGCUACGGUGCGCGCCAUUCUCACCUCAUUCAGGUUGGUUUCGGGGCUCCAUGUCAACUUCUCCAAGAGUGCGGUCAUCCCGAUCCGCUGUGAACUCCUGGACGUGCCAACUAUCAUCGCGCCGCUUGGGGCGAAGGUCACCUCCUUCCCCUGCAAGUUCCUUGGCCUGCCUCUUUCCCUCAGGCGAUUGCGUAAGAUCGACUAG
RNAcentral lists this ribosomal RNA (471 nucleotides) under Triticum aestivum (bread wheat). RNAcentral describes it as "partial small subunit ribosomal RNA". The record is from RNAcentral. Lineage: Eukaryota; Viridiplantae; Streptophyta; Magnoliopsida; Poales; Poaceae.